GUCUUCUUUCCAUAUUUCAGACUUUCUGGCUAUACAAAUUGAUUGUUUCUCUAAUUAUAGUCCCACCAUUUGAAUCAAAAUCUACUUGUAACCAUUGUUUCUGGUUGUGUGACUAUGUGCAUGCAUGGAUGUUUUGUGGGCAUGUCGGGUGUGUGUGUGUGUGUGUGUGUGUGUGUGUGUGUGUGUGUGUGUGUGAGACAGUUUCAGAAAACUGCAUGUGUGCAAGCAAGUUUAAGGUUAACUCCAAGACCACUUACUUUUCUACCAUGUGAUUUGUUUUGUUUUGUUGAGCCGAAUCAUUUGGCUGGAAAACAUCUGAUACAUUGUUGGGAGACGUCUUACAACAAGGAAACAGGAAAGGAAGAGAAAGACCUGCAGAGGCUGAUGCAAUACUCCAAGCUGUCAACCAUGGCCAUGAUGAGCUCAUUCUUAUGCCAGGUGAUGCCGGAGAACGUCAGAGCAACAGGCAGUAUCUCACAGACUUCCCCGUAACAGGCAUGCAUUCGCCCAUUGGAUCAACAUCUUUCAAUUUAUUAGCAUGAAAAGGACACAAUUAUUUUGGAUAUGCCUGAAUGCAAUUUUCAUUAACUUUGCAAUGAUUUAUUAACAAAAGUGUCAGGAAUGUAAUAAAAGCAGCAGGACUCCUUAAAAUGCCAAAAUAGAAAAAAAAAAUUGAAGAAUACGCUAGAAUUUCCCAACCCGCCUUACGGCACCAGGUCAAUAAGGUUGCCUGAUUCCAUCAAAAGCAUCAGCAUGGUGAGUGAACUCUGCAAUUAACAAAGAGUAAGCACAAAAAAUGCUAAUAUCUCAUUUGAAUGUAAUUAUGCACAGAUUACUGUUCACUGGAACAAGAAAAGGGAUUUUAAUUGUCAUCCAAAGUUACACGCAAACCUAGAUUCCUGUUAACUUUUUUUUGGGGGGUGGGGUUGGGGUGUUCAUGUGAGAGUAAAGUAGACAAUUCACAAUUCCUAUGUUCAGGGACAUUGGAAAAGGCAAUGCCUUUGUUUAAGAGAUACAACAUCACAAAGUUUUAAAAUAGCAUCAUCCCAUGUAUAUUGGCAAGGUUAGUUUGUAAUAAGUUUCACCAUCGUUUGCAUUUUAAUACUAUUUGAUCUCAUUUACAUGUUUAAAUUUGUUCCUGUAAUAAAAUUCAUUAGUAUGUUUAUCAUAACUACAUAAUGAAUAUAGCCCUUAUGUAAAAUAAAAAAUUGAAAGUACAUUAGAGACAUUACAAGCUGUUUGAAAUUACUGUGCUUUGCAUAUUAUACCUUAUUAAUUAAAUUAUAAAUUAUUUAUUUAUGUUAUUUCCUUAAUCAGGGGCAAGCACUAGAACAAUAUUAUAUUAGUAUAAGAAACACAACACAACUCAAAGCUAAAUCACACGUGGACCAAUUUUCCAUACAGAGGCACGCUGAUCCAUUUUGCCUUGGGGUGGCCAAUGCCUCUCCCCUGCUGUGCAUCAAGGGCUGCAGAGAGCUGUUAGAAGGAGGC
RNAcentral lists this long non-coding RNA (1491 nucleotides) under Rattus norvegicus (Norway rat). RNAcentral's name for it is "long non-coding RNA NONRATT031991". The record is from RNAcentral. Lineage: Eukaryota; Metazoa; Chordata; Mammalia; Rodentia; Muridae.